Cavia porcellus (domestic guinea pig) is the source of this 1001-nucleotide long non-coding RNA. RefSeq lists it as uncharacterized. Lineage: Eukaryota; Metazoa; Chordata; Mammalia; Rodentia; Caviidae. The record is from RefSeq and is a predicted model, not a curated record. The transcript has 2 exons.
UUCAGUCGACCUUAGCUGGUCUCUCUGGUCUGAGAUUCAGGCUCUGAAAUCUUAUCAGCACAGACUUUUGCAACCUCUGUAUUUUUCUGGCCUUGUUCUUAUUUUCUAGACUGUGCAGUCCUGGCCCUGGAAUUUCCCCCUCUUGCUCUGGUCUCAAGGGGCCUUCCCAAAAUAACAGCAUGCCCAUGAGACCGGAGGGCGCAGUGGACUGGACUGUCCUGGCUGGCUGCUUCCUUCUCUGUGUCCCUGGACCACUUCCUCUGAGUUUCUGCUUCCUCCGCUGCAAAAUGGAAGUUGUGAGAGCCCACAUUUCUUAGGGUUGUUAUGAAAGCUCGGAUGGAUCAGUGUUUGUCAAGUGCUUAGGAGAAGCCUAUCACAUAGCUGUACUACAUGGUCUGAAUGGUAUGGAGAAAGGAGAAUGCACAGGCACUAAGACUUGUAAAGCACCGACUAGUCAGCAGAUUCCCUAAUCACGUUAUACCCAGCACCUUGUGUGAGGCUCAGAAAGCAAGUAGGUCACUGCCCUCCUUUUACAGGUGGGAAAGACCAUAGCUCAGAGGGAUAAAAUAACUGACCACGGUCCUAUCCCUAUGGAUGGUAGAGCAGAGACUCAGUCCAGGAUUGUGUGACUCCAAAGCCUGAACUGUCCAUAUUAAGAAUGAUGUGGCUAGGUGUGGCAGCAUGUGUCUGAAAUCCCAGCUUUCUGGGAGGCCGAGGCAGGAAGAUUUCAAGUUUGAAUCCAUCAUAGAUAAUUUAGUGAGUUAGCAACACCUUGUCUCAAAAUUUUUAUUUAAAAAAAGGGCUGAAGAUAGCUCAGUGAGAAGGCCUGGGGUUUGGUUCCCAAUCCUGGAAAAAAAAAAAAAAGAUGCCACUAGAAAGACUUCACUUAAUUUGAUUCUAAAAGCUUAACAUACCUCUCAAUCUCUAGUUUAAAAACAGUUAAGAUUUCACUUAAAGGUCUUGGUAACAAAUCCUUCUAUGAAAUAACUCGUUUCUCUAUA